Molecule: long non-coding RNA, 208 nt
Filed under: Elaeis guineensis (African oil palm)
Lineage: Eukaryota; Viridiplantae; Streptophyta; Magnoliopsida; Arecales; Arecaceae
Description: long non-coding RNA (EGUI_LNC011109)
Source: RNAcentral
UCUGCUGUAUCUACCAUAUCUCCGAGUCAAUCUCCACCUUCCUUGAUCGAACCGGAGGGGGAAUCCCGUCCUUUUCCCGAAUGCUCGUCCCAUCCCCCCUCGGCGCAGGAAUAAAAAAAAAUCGCCGCUCGGCGGCAGAUCGAAGCGUCGCGUCAAACAAAACGAAACGACGAAAAAUUAAACAGGACAAAGCAUGAAAGUCCCCACC